AACCCAUUGAAGUGAUUGCACAACCGCACUGACUGUUAAUCAGGGGGUCGUUGGUUCGAGUCCAACAUCGGGCGCCA
This 77-nucleotide transfer RNA is filed under the name Dyella marensis. Its description in RNAcentral is "tRNA_Asn_GTT". Lineage: Bacteria; Pseudomonadati; Pseudomonadota; Gammaproteobacteria; Lysobacterales; Rhodanobacteraceae. The record is from RNAcentral.